This is a non-coding RNA of Pelobates cultripes (western spadefoot toad), 292 nucleotides long. The record is from the annotation of a GenBank genome assembly. Lineage: Eukaryota; Metazoa; Chordata; Amphibia; Anura; Pelobatidae.
CCUUUAUUCCAGUCUGCUGGUGCUGGCUCUGCCCCUGAUAUGCCUCCUUGGCUGACAUCAUCAGAAGUAAUGAUCUCAGCCAAUCACAAUGCUUUCCCAUCAGAUGAUCGUCAAUUCUGAUGAUCUCAGCUAGGCAGGCGGGCUGGGGGAGAAGCCAAACGCCACCCUUGCCAAUCAGCAUCUCCUCAUAGAGAUGCAUUGAAUCAGUGCACGUCUACGAGGAAAGUUUAAGUGUCUCCAUGCAGCGGGUGGAGGCACGGUGUGCAGCACUGACCCAGGAAGCACCUCUAGC